CCGAGUGGCGAACGGGUGAGUAACACGUGAGUAACCUGCCCUUGACUUUGGGAUAACUUCAGGAAACUGGGGCUAAUACCGGAUAGGAGCUCCUGCUGCAUGGUGGGGGUUGGAAAGUUUCGGCGGUUGGGGAUGGACUCGCGGCUUAUCAGCUUGUUGGUGGGGUAGUGGCUUACCAAGGCUUUGACGGGUAGCCGGCCUGAGAGGGUGACCGGCCACAUUGGGACUGAGAUACGGCCCAG
RNAcentral lists this ribosomal RNA (242 nucleotides) under uncultured Actinomycetales bacterium. Its description in RNAcentral is "partial 16S ribosomal RNA". It matches the Rfam family "Bacterial small subunit ribosomal RNA", at positions 91 to 334 of the family's 1533-position model. The record is from RNAcentral. Lineage: Bacteria; Bacillati; Actinomycetota; Actinomycetes; Actinomycetales.